Onychostoma macrolepis is the source of this 4624-nucleotide long non-coding RNA. RefSeq lists it as uncharacterized. The record is from RefSeq and is a predicted model, not a curated record. NCBI's taxonomy places the organism in Eukaryota, Metazoa, Chordata, Actinopteri, Cypriniformes, Cyprinidae. The transcript is spliced from 3 exons.
CGGGCCUUGUUCGCCUGAAGGAUCGCUCGGCUGUCCAAUCAGAGCGCAGACACCGAUGCACGCCGGAAGAGUGCUGCAGCAGCAGAGCACACGGGACCGAAAUGGCGUAGCGCGCAGUCGUCCGCCGCAGCAGCGCAGCGGGGCCAGGCUCACCGAACAUCGCGGAGCCUGGCCCCUCGUACUCAACCGACGAGUAUGAUGGAGGUGACUUUUAGUUCCAGUUCACUCGGUUCGAAACCAGCACGAGAUCACCGGAGACGUGCCCUUCAUAUGUCAUAUCAAGAAGAGAAAGGAACAGUCUUGAAAGGAACUCAUGACCAGAUGAGACCAUCAUGUCUUUGUUCUUCAAACUGCUCUCCAUCCCGAUAAGUUGACUUUCCUCCAGCGUUAUUUCAGGGAAAUGUUUGUUCAGCAUACCAACUGUCAUUGGUCUAUGAACAUAUCAUCUCUGCACUUUGGAGACUACAACUGAAGUUGUUUUUAUCCAUGAAAGAACGAUAAGCUCUUCAUGUGUCCAAAAAAAGUAACACAAUUGUGCCACAGUACAGAGCCAUCUUCUGGUCAUAUUUGUUAUAAAUAAAAUCCAGUGUAGUAUUUAUAUGGUUGCAGGUUGUGUUAAAAGUGAAAAUGGAAAUAGUGGAAGCGCACUUGCUUUGCAGGUAAAACAAAUGCACAUUUCAAAACUAGAUCAUGCAAGCAAGAUGAUGUAGCUUCAUCCAACAGUUUUAAUUAUCUGCAGAUUAAGUGCCUAGACACGUUUUUUUUAAAAGCUCCUGUCUCUCAAUUAUCUAUUUCCAUGGCUUAGCUUUAAACCUACCAGUAAAGCACUACUUGGUCAUUUAUUUAGUCUUGAAAAUGGCUGAAAAUUUAAUUUCUGAGACAACAAACUGUAGACAGAUAGCUGUUCUCUUAAUUCAGAACUCAUAUUGGUGCUUUUGCAAAACCACGAACCAUGCUUUCAUGUUUUCUAUGUACUUGUACUGACAAACCAAGACAGACAGUGGCACACUGACCUGAACAUAAGCUUUAUAAAUUCCACAGUUAAACCUUUCUAGUGGGGGUGGGGCGCUAAUGAGAUGCAGGACAUAAUGAAAUAUAAUUAUUUUACUACCUCAGAAGUUACCACAGCUCAGACCCACACAGCGAGCACUCCGAUCAAACUAUAUUCACAUGCUUUUCUCACAGUAAUGUAAAUAAGUCAUUGUCUGUCAGAUGGUUUGGAAAUCAGUUGGAAGAGAAGUGAGCGCGUUUCUUUUCACUUCAUGUAUGUUAUUUUAUUAAUAGGUUUGGAAUAUCACACAAAUCAUAUAGAGACCUAGUAGUUCACUGGUUGGACACUGGUGGCCAAAAGUUUGGAAUAAUUAUGUUUUUUAACUUUUUUUGAAAGAAGUUGAUUUGCAUUGAUUUGAUGAAAAAUGCAGUAAAACAGUAAUACUAGGAAAAAUUUAAAAUAACUGUUUUCUAUUUUAAUUUUUUUUUUUUAAUGUAAUUUAUUCCUGUGAUGCAAAGCUACAUUUUUUAGCAGACAUUACUUGGUGCCACAUGAUCCUUCAUUAUUGUUAGUGUUGAAAUCAGCUUUAGAUUUGAGACCAUGACGUAUUUUUACAGGGUUUGUUGAGUAAUAGAAAGUUAAUUGAACAGCGUUUAUUUGAAAUAUUUUUUAGUAACAUUAUUGUUUUUACUGUCACUUUUGAUCAAUUUAAUGCAUUCUUGCUGAAUAAAAGUAUUAAUUUCUUUCUUUUUUAAAAUCAUACUUAUCAUAACUUUUACAAGGAAGUGUGUCACAGUUUCCAUAAAAAAACAUUAAGAAGCAAAAAUAGUUUUCAAUGUUGAUUAAAAACAAAAAAUGUUUCUUGAGCACCAAAUCAAACCAAAUUGUGUCCUGAAGGAUCAUGUGACACUGGAGCAAUGUAUGCUGAAAAUUUAGCUUUGCCAUUACAGGAAUAAAGUACAUUUUGAAAUAUAUAAAAAUAGAAAACAAAUCUAUUUUUGAUCAAACAAAUGUAGCCUUGGUGAGCAUAAAAACAUAAAAUCAAAACCAUUAAAAAAAUCUGAUUUAUUCCAAAGGUUUGGCUGCCAAUAUCUAUUUGUCCUACAUGUUUUCCAAGAGAAUAUACAGAGUGAAAUAAACGUGUCAUUUUCAUUCAGUAACAUUCUCAUAGUUAUCAUCCUCAUUAGGCCUGAAGAAAGGCAGUAGAAUGGUUAAAUGUUAGACCCUGGUCACAACGUUUUUAAAUAGUUGUUAAUAGUUUAGUAUGUUUUAAUGUAUCGUCUAAAAUAGAUUAUGGCAAGUUGGUCACAGCCUGUGCUGGGUCCUCAGCAACAGUGCACUGUGAACAUAGGAAUUUAACUUCAUCUGUGUUGAGAAAAUGUACCCAGUUUUUGUUUCGUUUGUACAGUAGUUUCUAUCAUAUGGAUUGGUAGAAAUAAAAGUAUCAUGUACCGAGUAUGAAUUUUCAUGGGAGAAAGAGUAGUGAGGCCUCAGUGUGGGAAAUGUGCAAUAUUUGUUUCUUUCCUUUGUCUUGUUUUGAGAUGAAUAUGUAUAUUGUACAAACAAGUGACAAGUUGUUCGCAAAAACAACAAAAUCACCAAUGUCUUCCAUUAAAUGAUGUAUAGUUUCAUCCGCUUGCUUUAGGGUGGCGGGAUUUGUAGUGCCAGCAUAAACAUGGCCAUGCAUGUACGGUAGCGAUGCUUGCUGAGUUUAAUAGUCGUAGUGACAUUCAGUAUAUGCUAUAAUAAAGUCGUUUAGAAAAUAAAAUAGGCAGAUAAUGAUUUAGUUAGUAACCACCAUGGAUGCAGCAUCUACAUCUUGAUCGAUUUGAUUAAGAGGCGACUAGGCGAGUCAUUUUCACUCAUGUUGAAUUUGUUCGUUUUAGUUUUUAAUCGGCAAACACAGUUGUUUAUUCACAGGUAAUCACUAUUAGUUAAUAAUAAUGUGUUGUAGCAUGCUGAGGAUUAGAAAAAUGGCGGUUGGUAUUGACGUGCAGCUAGCCAUGCUGAAAUACAUAUAUAUGUUUCAUAAGCACUGUGUGAGUUUGUCCUAGUUUGUACUGUGCAAAAUUAAGUUCUGGGCCCAAAAUAGUUGACUCAGAUCAAAACGACAGUCCCUAACGGGCAGAAAAUUUGGCUCGGUGGCUUGGAAGAAGUAAAGAGUUUAAUUUCAUACCUGUUUCAAGAUAAUUCCUUGGAAACAGUUGAUCCUGAAACGUUAUUUGGUCUGUAAUAAUCGGACACAAAGAAGACUAAAGUAUUCUCGUCCCGAUUAGAAAGGGUAACCUAGAACUGUGUUUGUAUUCAUACCUCUAAUAUUGCAUUCUCCAUCAGGUAAUGUUGUCUCAGACUAGAGCUGUAGGUAGAUUAUUCUUAGUAGCAGAAACUCUAGAUUUUAAAGUAACAUGUAGUAUAUUAAGUGGCAUAAAGCAAUUAUCAAAGCAUUGUAAUGUAGAUAAAUACCUCAAUGACUGGAAUGCAAACUAUAUUUUUAAAUAUACUCAAAGAUAUGCAAGCCAUGAUGUGUAUUAAGUUCAACGUUUAGAAGCAAUAAUCAGUUUAUGCAUGAAUUAUAGUGUCGGAAUAGUUCAGUGGUGUUUGUGAAAUAGAAAUCUGUAGCAUAUUUGUGACAGUGGUAAGUGUUUUAUCCAGAACAUCCCAUUGCUCAUAUUUGGUAGUACAGAACUAGCUGUUAGCAGCCCCAUUAUUCGUUGACACCAAAUAAAUGUGAAGGUAGCACCAAGGGUCUGACAAAUAUGAAAGACCUUUUUUAUUUUGGACAGGUGGAAGAAAGUUGACAGGUAGUGUAUGUGUGUGUGUGUGUGUGUGUGUAUAUAUAUAUAUAUAUAUAUAUAUAUAUAUAUAUAUAUAUAUAUACAUACAUACAUAUACAGGGCUUAUGCCCUUCUAUUGACCUUGCAUGUUUACAUACAAACCAUUGUGGAACGCACAUAAGCUGUAUGUAUAUUUACAGCUUAUUUUCAUUAACAGCAAUAUGAGCAGUGUUCUGGUAGCAGUUUGUGACACUCUGAUGAUUCAUUGUCUCAGUGAGUCCUGGGUAAACGAUAUACCACAAUACAUUCACAAAAUGAAAAAGAUCCAUUGGGAAUUAACUAGUAUUUUUUUAAUAAGAAUGCAAAAAACGUUUGUUGAUGCAUGGUAGAAGUGGACAAAAAAAUGUUUUGUGCUGCAUGCAAUAAUUAAGCUUUGCUUGAACAUAUUUAUGCAGAAAUGUGAUAAAUCUAUGAGUGGACCAAUGUUGUGACUUUCUUUUCAAAUGCAUGAAAUCCCAAAGGUUUAUCGCUGCUGUAAAUUAUUCACAGAUGUAUUCAUUAAAAAUGUUACUUUUGGAUUGAAGUUGAGUAUUGUAUGACAGAAAUGUAACAAGUCUGUGAUUCAAGAGGCAAGAUACAGUACGUUUUAGCAAAACUAACAAUUGUGAGUUUAAAUGGAAUAAAAUGAAGUUCUUUUUCAUGUUCAAUGCAGAUAGUGCAGAACAUAAGUUUAUAUGCCUCUGAAUGUGAAACUCUAUGCUUAGUCUGAUCUAUGCACUACAGAUGCGCCCCGCAUGAUUUUGUACAAAAAAAUAUUAAAUUUUAGCAAUAAAAAAAGCAGCAUGGUGCCAAUCAUAAA